UAUGGUUAAGUUCUCGUUUAAAGACCUUAUAGAGGUGCAUGAUCAUGUUGGUUUGAGAUGUCAGAAAAAAAAAAAGCUCUAAAGGGCAUAAUCAGGUUAGUGUGUUGUAUCAUUUGGAGGGCGAGAAACCAUGCCAGAUUCAACAACAACACGGUUAAGCUAGAUCGUAUUAUCAGUGAGGUCAAAAGUGUGGGUUUUUUGUGGUAUACAUCUAGAACUAAAGGAACGUCUAUUUUAUGGGUAGAUUGGUGUAAAUUUGUAAUGUGUGUUUCGGCUGCCUCGGUUUGAGGUGGCUUGUGUUUUAAUGAAGUUUACUUUUCAAAAAAAACGCACACCAAUAAAAAAGAGCACCCUCGAUGAGGACAUAUCCUUUAAUUAAGGGUGUGCAUAUUCACACACCUUAGUGCCUAUUUCCACACCCUGUAAGACACCUCGUAUAGGCCUAGACGGGGUGUCUAGGGCCUUUAAGACGCCUCGUCUAGGCCUAUACAAGGCGUCUAGGGUUUUUGUCUCCAACCAGCCACUGAACCUCGUACAAGGUCAAAUCAAUCACAUCAGACAGGGCGUCUAGGCCUAUACGAGGGAGCAAUACAAUAGAGCAAGGCACCUCGUCUAGGCCUAGACGAGGCGUCUUGAGGACUGAUUUGACUAUGUGUCUGGCAUGCGACAUAAAGUAAUAUGGGGCGUCUAUAUUUGAAAUAAAUAGUGACAUGCAGAGCAUUCUUCAACCAUCCAUCGUUCUGCCUUACACCGAGCUUCUUCUUUGCCUUAUUUUUUUAUCACUUGUGAGGUGCUGAAAUGUCAUCAUACUGGGACGGCAACUAUGUCUUUGGGCCGUAUUCUAGCGAGUCAUAGGAGACUGGUGUUCCCGAUUCUAAUGAGCAAGAGGAGGUUGUGUCUAGUGUACAAGGAAACAAAACAAACUGUUUCUAGAUUUGGACACGCAUCCUCCUGUUGAUGAAACAUACCCUGUAGAUGACUCAUGCCAUGCUGAUGAACCAAGUUAUCCGGCGCAACAAGGGUAUCUGGAUUAUAGAUACCCCGAGAGGUCCCUAAUGGCAACCGUGGGACCUACCGGAGCAGUUCGAUCUAGUCUAUCAUCCGCCAGAUGCUGCUGCAGCGGUCGUGCAGGACCCUCCGGUGGAUUUAGACGGAUCAGCGAUGCCACAGCUACCGCCACCUCUCGGGGCGCCCCAAUUUCCAUGGCAGGUUUAUCCAGGUCAUGCCCCGGGAGCUGCAGCAGAUCCACAUUUACGAGCCGACGUUGACAAGCUUAUAGAUUUGGUGGGUUAGUUGAUUCGAGAGGCUCAAAAUAGACGAGAGAGAGAGGUUACCCGCAAUACUGCUCCCACUAACUCGAGCACCACAUCAUCAGCAACAGCCGCAACAACCAGAUCCAGAUUCAGACUCGUACCCAGAGGCAUAGACCAGCUGCAUGUACAUAUUUUGGUAUUUAGUGUUCAAUUGUAGUUUUUAUUUUUCUUAUGGAUGUACAAACUUAUAUUAUAUAUGUCAUAUUUAAGUUUAUUUUCAGCUA
Molecule: long non-coding RNA, 1537 nt
Organism: Helianthus annuus (common sunflower)
Lineage: Eukaryota; Viridiplantae; Streptophyta; Magnoliopsida; Asterales; Asteraceae
Exons: 2
Source: RefSeq, a predicted model, not a curated record